CAUUAAAAAUCACGUUAAAAUUUUUAACAUUUUAAGAAAAAUUAUGAAUCAAUAAUAUUAAUAUAAAAUUUUAUCCGAAAAACUCAGAAUUAAAUGCAUAAACAAAAAAACAAACAAACCCUAAAUCCUAUAAUCCUACGCAUUAUUCUAAACCAAACCGUAAACCCAACCUAAACCAAACGCUAAACCUUUUCUACUACCUAAACCCUAAAUCCUACCUAAACCUAGACCUUAACCCUAUCUAACCCUAAACCCUACAUAAACCUAACCCUAAUCCCUAAACCCUUCAUACUACCUAAACCCUAAACCUACCUAACCCAAAACGUAAACCCUACCUAACCCAAAACCCUAUUUAACCCUAAACCCUACCUAACCCUAAACCCUUCCUAACCCUAAAACCCUACCUAAAACCUAACCCUAAAUCCUACCUAACCCUAAACCCUACCUACCCUAAACUCUACCUAACCCUAAACUCUUCCUAACCCUAAAACCCUACCAAAAACCUAACCCUAAACCCUACCUAACCCUAACCCUACCUAACCCUAAACCCUACCUAACCCUAAACCCUACUAACCCUAAACCCUUUCUAACCCUAAACCCUACCUAACCCUAAACCCUACGUAACCCUAAACCCUACCUAACCCUAAACCCUACCUAACCCUAAACUCUACCUAGCCCUAACCCUACCAACCCUAAACCCUACUAACCCUAAACCCUACCUACCCUAAAUCCUUUUUAACCCUAAACCCUAAACCCUACCUAACCCUAAACCCUUUCUAACCCUAAACCCUUCCUAACCCUAAACCCUGCCUAACCCUAAAAAUCCUACCUAACCCUAAACCCUGCCUAAACCUAACCCUAAAACCCUACCUAAACCU
Molecule: long non-coding RNA, 878 nt
Filed under: Brassica napus (rape)
Lineage: Eukaryota; Viridiplantae; Streptophyta; Magnoliopsida; Brassicales; Brassicaceae
Description: long non-coding RNA (BNAP_LNC000197)
Source: RNAcentral